UAACUUAGCGGCGGACGGGUGAGUAACGCGUGGGUAACCUGCCUCAUACAGGGGGAUAACAGUUGGAAACGGCUGCUAAUACCGCAUAAGCGCACAGUACCGCAUGGUACGGUGUGAAAAACUCCGGUGGUAUGAGAUGGACCCGCGUCUGAUUAGGUAGUUGGUGGGGUAACGGCCUACCAAGCCGACGAUCAGUAGCCGACCUGAGAGGGUGACCGGCCACAUUGGGACUGAGACACGGCCCAA
This 246-nucleotide ribosomal RNA is filed under the name uncultured bacterium. Its description in RNAcentral is "partial 16S ribosomal RNA". It matches the Rfam family "Bacterial small subunit ribosomal RNA", at positions 88 to 334 of the family's 1533-position model. The record is from RNAcentral.